GUGAAUAUUGUGGCUCACCCGGAAAAUGCAUAUCUGAGCGCUCGCAGGUGCCAGCCAUCUAUUCGAAGGGGAGAAAAAAAACUCUACUCCCAAGGAGUUUUUCUUUUCUUUCUAAAGGGUCUAUUAUUCUCAGAACACAACAACUGUUCGUCACCUAAAAGGACAGGAUGACACCAAAGGAGUUAUGAUAGCAGCACUUAUAGGCAUUGAGGAAUUGGCAAAGAGAUUACGCUUCAUAGGUAUGAAGUUAGAACAACGGCUGGAAACUAUGAAAGGCCGUUUCUAAUUACCUUUGUUGGAUCUGUCUUACCUACAAUGCAUGUGUGACCCCUGGAGAAGCCACUUUUUGUUUCGUCUGCAGUAUACUCCAUGUUUAGUUCCAAUGAUGCCCUAACCCUUUUGUUCCUGCUCUAAAGAAUAAGACAUGUAUAGGCUUCAGAUUUUUGUAAUCAUCUAUGUGCUAAACAUCCCUUUGUGGUUAUGUGUUUUAUAUGUAAUCAAGCAUCUAUCCAUGAUGAUAUAUAUGCCCAGCUAAUGUUUGAAAAGAUC
Non-coding RNA from Triticum urartu, 549 nucleotides. The record is from RefSeq and is a predicted model, not a curated record. Lineage: Eukaryota; Viridiplantae; Streptophyta; Magnoliopsida; Poales; Poaceae.